AGGGUGUUGUGACUUGCAAACAGUUCAUCA
Molecule: non-coding RNA, 30 nt
Filed under: Rattus norvegicus (Norway rat)
Lineage: Eukaryota; Metazoa; Chordata; Mammalia; Rodentia; Muridae
Source: RNAcentral